RNAcentral lists this ribosomal RNA (486 nucleotides) under uncultured Micromonosporaceae bacterium. Its description in RNAcentral is "bacterial SSU rRNA". It matches the Rfam family "Bacterial small subunit ribosomal RNA", at positions 1 to 507 of the family's 1533-position model. Lineage: Bacteria; Bacillati; Actinomycetota; Actinomycetes; Micromonosporales; Micromonosporaceae. The record is from RNAcentral.
GUAGUUUGACUCCGUGGCUCAGGACGAACGCUGGCGGCGUGCUUAACACAUGCAAGUCGAGCGGAAAGGCCCCUUCGGGGGUACUCGAGCGGCGAACGGGUGAGUAACACGUGAGUAACCUGCCCCAGGCUUCGGGAUAACCCUCGGAAACGGGGGCUAAUACCGGAUAUGACCUGCUGCCGCAUGGUGGUGGGUGGAAAGUUUUUUCGGCCUGGGAUGGGCUCGCGGCCUAUCAGCUUGUUGGUGGGGUGAUGGCCUACCAAGGCGAUGACGGGUAGCCGGCCUGAGAGGGCGACCGGCCACACUGGGACUGAGACACGGCCCAGACUCCUACGGGAGGCAGCAGUGGGGAAUAUUGCACAAUGGGCGGAAGCCUGAUGCAGCGACGCCGCGUGAGGGAUGAAGGCCUUCGGGUUGUAAACCUCCUUCAGCAGGGACGAAGCGCAAGUGACGGUACCUGCAGAAGAAGCGCCGGCCAACUACGUG